GGUGAACGCUGGCGGUAGGCCUAACACAUGCAAGUCGAACGGCAGCACAGUAAGAGCUUGCUCUUACGGGUGGCGAGUGGCGGACGGGUGAGGAAUACAUCGGAAUCUACUUUUUCGUGGGGGAUAACGUAGGGAAACUUACGCUAAUACCGCAUACGACCUACGGGUGAAAGCAGGGGAUCUUCGGACCUUGCGCGUUUGUAUUAGCCGAUGUCGGAUUAGCUAGUUGGCGGGGUAAAGGCCCACCAAGGCGACGAUCCGUAGCUGGUCUGAGAGGAUGAUCAGCCACACUGGAACUGAGACACGGUCCAGACUCCUACGGGAGGCAGCAGUGGGGAAUAUUGGACAAUGGGCGCAAGCCUGAUCCAGCCAUACCGCGUGGGUGAAGAAGGCCUUCGGGUUGUAAAGCCCUUUUGUUGGGAAAGAAAAGCAGCAGGUUAAUACCCCGCUGUUCUGACGGUACCCAAAGAAUAAGCACCGGCUAACUUCGUG
RNAcentral lists this ribosomal RNA (492 nucleotides) under uncultured bacterium. RNAcentral's name for it is "partial 16S ribosomal RNA". It matches the Rfam family "Bacterial small subunit ribosomal RNA", at positions 28 to 507 of the family's 1533-position model. The record is from RNAcentral.